UACGAGAGGCCCAAACGUUAUUCGGAUUUACUGGGCUUAAAGAGUUUGUAGGCGGUUCGGUAAGUGAGAUGUGAAAGCCCUCGGCUCAACCGAGGAAUUGCGUUUCAAACUGCCGGGCUCGAGGGAGAUAGAGGUGAGCGGAACUGAUGGUGGAGCGGUGAAAUGCGUUGAUAUCAUCAGGAACACCAGAGGCGAAGGCGGCUCACUGGGUCUCUUCUGACGCUGAGAAACGAAAGCUAGGGGAGCAAACGGG
RNAcentral lists this ribosomal RNA (253 nucleotides) under uncultured bacterium. RNAcentral's name for it is "partial 16S ribosomal RNA". It matches the Rfam family "Bacterial small subunit ribosomal RNA", at positions 524 to 776 of the family's 1533-position model. The record is from RNAcentral.